Molecule: ribosomal RNA, 487 nt
Filed under: Munnopsis aff. abyssalis/1 BOLD:ADL3685
Lineage: Eukaryota; Metazoa; Arthropoda; Malacostraca; Isopoda; Munnopsidae
Description: partial 16S ribosomal RNA
Rfam family: Archaeal large subunit ribosomal RNA
Source: RNAcentral
UUCCUGCUAUCUUUUCCAGGUAAACUCUGCUCAAUGAAAUUUAUUUUUUAAUAGCCGCAGUAUCCUGACUGUGCAAAGGUAGCAUAAUAAUUAGCCUUUUAAUCGAAGGCCGGAAUGAAAGAGCCCCCGACUUUAGAGCUUUAUUCCUUAAACCAUAGAAAUUUAUAUUUUCGUUAAAAAGCGAAAAUCCCUAAAGGGACGAUAAGACCCUGUAAAACUUCACUAACCUCUUCUCAGUUUUGACUUUCAAAAAAGAUUUUAGUUCGGCUGGGGCGGCUUCUUCUACCAAUCAGAAGAUAAAUUAACAAUAAUAAUUGAGUUAAAAGACCUCUUUCCGGAGAAUUAAAAUAAGCUACUUCAGGGAUAACAGCAUAAUUUUUUCAUAUAGACCUUAUAGAAGAAAAAGACUUAUGACCUCGAUGUUGAAUUGAGGAGCUCGGUUUAAGCAGAAAUAAACUGGAGGAGUCUGUUCGACUUUUAAUCCCUC